GAUGAACGCUGGCGGCGUGCCUAAUACAUGCAAGUCGAGCGAACGGACGAGAAGCUUGCUUCUCUGAUGUUAGCGGCGGACGGGUGAGUAACACGUGGAUCACCUACCUAUAAGACUGGGAUAACUUCGGGAAACCGGAGCUAAUACCGGAUAAUAUUUUGAACCGCAUGGUUCAAAAGUGAAAGACGGUCUUGCUGUCACUUAUAGAUGGAUCCGCGCUGCAUUAGCUAGUUGGUAAGGUAACGGCUUACCAAGGCAACGAUGCAUAGCCGACCUGAGAGGGUGAUCGGCCACACUGGAACUGAGACACGGUCCAGACUCCUACGGGAGGCAGCAGUAGGGAAUCUUCCGCAAUGGGCGAAAGCCUGACGGAGCAACGCCGCGUGAGUGAUGAAGGUCUUCGGAUCGUAAAACUCUGUUAUUAGGGAAGAACAUAUGUGUAAGUAACUGUGCACAUCUUGACGGUACCUAAUCAGAAAGCCACGGCUAACUACGUG
RNAcentral lists this ribosomal RNA (497 nucleotides) under uncultured bacterium. RNAcentral's name for it is "partial 16S ribosomal RNA". It matches the Rfam family "Bacterial small subunit ribosomal RNA", at positions 28 to 507 of the family's 1533-position model. The record is from RNAcentral.